GUAGCGUAAUCACCUGUCUUUUAAAUAAAGACCUGUAUGAAUGGCAAGACGAGGGUUUUACUGUCUCCUCCCCCCAGUCAAUGAAAUUGAUCUACCCGUGCAGAAGCGGGUAUAAAAACAUAAGACGAGAAGACCCUAUGGAGCUUUAGGCAUAUAUCAAAUAUGUAAAAAACCAAAUUUUUCCAAAUAGGCCUAAAAAAUGAGAAAAACAAGUAUUAAUGAUUAAGUGCCUUCGGUUGGGGCGACCACGGGGAAAAAUAAAACCCCCACAUGGAAUGGGAAAAAUAACCCUAAGCCAAGAAAAACACUUCUAAGCAACAAAAUUUUUGACCAAUAAACGACCCAGGGACACCAUCCCUGAGCAAUGAACCAAGUUACCCUAGGGAUAACAGCGCAAUCCUUUCCCAGAGCCCAUAUCAACGAAAGGGUUUACGACCUCGAUGUUGGAUCAGGGCAUCCUAACGGUGCAGCCG
Molecule: ribosomal RNA, 473 nt
Filed under: Conger erebennus
Lineage: Eukaryota; Metazoa; Chordata; Actinopteri; Anguilliformes; Congridae
Description: partial 16S ribosomal RNA
Rfam family: Bacterial large subunit ribosomal RNA
Source: RNAcentral